This 399-nucleotide ribosomal RNA is filed under the name uncultured bacterium. RNAcentral's name for it is "bacterial SSU rRNA". It matches the Rfam family "Bacterial small subunit ribosomal RNA", at positions 356 to 772 of the family's 1533-position model. The record is from RNAcentral.
GGGGAAUAUUGGACAAUGGGGGCAACCCUGAUCCAGCAAUGCCGCGUGAGUGAUGAAGGCCUUCGGGUUGUAAAGCUCUUUUGCCAGGGACGAUGAUGACGGUACCUGGAGAAUAAGCCCCGGCUAACUUCGUGCCAGCAGCCGCGGUAAUACGAAGGGUGCAAGCGUUACUCGGAAUUACUGGGCGUAAAGCGUGCGUAGGUGGUGAGUUAAGUCUGUCGUGAAAGCCCCGGGCUCAACCUGGGAAUGGCGAUGGAUACUGGCUCGCUAGAGUGCGGUAGAGGAGAGUGGAAUUCCCGGUGUAGCAGUGAAAUGCGUAGAGAUCGGGAGGAACAUCAGUUGCGAAGGCGGCUCUCUGGACCAGCACUGACACUGAGGCACGAAAGCGUGGGGAGCAAA